GACGGAGGAGGCAAGCGUUAUCCGGAAUUAUUGGGCGUAAAGGGUACGUAGGCGGCUGGUCAAGUCUGGGGUCAAAGGCCACAGCUCAACUGUGGGAAGGCCCUGGAAACUGACCGGCUAGAGUGAGGUAGGGGUUGCGGGAAUUCCCGGUGUCGCGGUGAAAUGCGUAGAGAUCGGGAAGAACACCUGAGGGUGAAGCGCGCAACUAGGCCUCAACUGACGCUGAGGUACGAAAGCUAGGGGAGCGAAUGGG
RNAcentral lists this ribosomal RNA (253 nucleotides) under uncultured bacterium. Its description in RNAcentral is "partial 16S ribosomal RNA". It matches the Rfam family "Bacterial small subunit ribosomal RNA", at positions 524 to 776 of the family's 1533-position model. The record is from RNAcentral.